Molecule: transfer RNA, 72 nt
Filed under: Stanieria sp. NIES-3757
Lineage: Bacteria; Bacillati; Cyanobacteriota; Cyanophyceae; Pleurocapsales; Dermocarpellaceae
Description: tRNA-Lys
Rfam family: tRNA
About the family: Transfer RNA (tRNA) molecules are approximately 80 nucleotides in length. Their secondary structure includes four short double-helical elements and three loops (D, anti-codon, and T loops).
Source: RNAcentral
GGGUUAUUAGCUCAAUGGUAGAGCAGGUGACUCUUAAUCACUUGGUUGGGGGUUCGAGUCCCUUAUAACCCA